Molecule: RNA transcript, 995 nt
Organism: Helianthus annuus (common sunflower)
Lineage: Eukaryota; Viridiplantae; Streptophyta; Magnoliopsida; Asterales; Asteraceae
Exons: 5
Source: RefSeq, a predicted model, not a curated record
ACAACAGCCGAGCAUGUUUCUUUUCGUAAUCCUACUGAGCCUGUCCAUGCUUAUCAACAUACCAAGCCCGUUAUUGCUAAUCAACCUACGAAGACCGUUCAUGGUAAUCAAUCUACCGAGCCCAUUCGUGAUUGUCAGCAUACUAAACCGAUUGUUGCUGCUUCUAAACCUUCAACAGAAAAAAUAAAAGUAUCAAAAGAAAAAAUAAAAGUAUUAGAACUUUUAGAAAUGGCGAGAUCCAGGCCUCAAAACAUAUAUAGAUUAGCACAAAAAGUGGCACUUCAUUCUGAAAAAGCCUUGUUUACGGUUUUUACUUCGCCAACUGGGAUGUAUGAGGAACGUGUUCAAGAGACGGUUGAAUUUGAGGCGGUUAUACAGUUAUGUGUCAACGGUUGGGCGGAUGUUUGCUUUGUGCAUUGGUUCACAAUGUAUUUAUAUGCAGCUGGGGAACGGGAGGGUUUAAAUAAUACUGCAUAUUUUCAUCCCCGUUAUAUUGAAGGUGAACUUGUCUCAGAUGACGGUGACUUUGUGAUUGACCAUAUCAAAAAGGUCAUCUCUUUUCAGAAGGACAAACAAUGGUUUAUUGCACCGUACAUAGCCAGGAAACACUGGGUACUAAUUAUACUUCAACAUCAUCCGGUAUAUAAAACUUGGAAGGGUUAAAGUAUGACGUGGGCUAAGGUUAAAGUAUGACGUGGGCUAAGGUUAAAGUAAUUAGACCAUUUUACGCAGGAAACACUGGGUACUAAUUAUUCGAACAGGCCAUAGAAGAAAAUAUGACGUGGGCUAAGGUUAAAUGUCGUCUACAACCUAAUGGAUGGGAGUGUGGUUAUUGUGUUAUGUUGGCUAUGUAUGAUUUUGUGAUUCGUAACAGAGAACAUAUGCUGGCAAAUAAAACUAAAAUGGUUCGUCAAGGUGAAAUUAAUGAAUUUGUAGAGCGUACUUUAAAGGUGUUUAUAUCAUCUUUUGGUGACGUUGAGGAUGAGAAGGAUCAA